Molecule: ribosomal RNA, 179 nt
Filed under: uncultured bacterium
Lineage: Bacteria
Description: partial 16S ribosomal RNA
Rfam family: Bacterial small subunit ribosomal RNA
Source: RNAcentral
CGACUCCAUGAAGCUGGAUUCGCUAGUAAUCGCGCAUCAGCCACGGCGCGGUGAAUACGUUCCCGGGCCUUGUACACACCGCCCGUCAAGCCAUGGGAGCCGGGGUGCCUGAAGUGCGUGACCGCAAGGAGCGCCCUAGGGUAAAACCGGUGACUGGGGCUAAGUCGUAACAAGGUACC